GGUUAAGCGACUAAGCGUACACGGUGGAUGCCCUGGCAGUCAGAGGCGAUGAAGGACGUGCUAAUCUGCGAAAAGCGUCGGUAAGGUGAUAUGAACCGUUAUAACCGGCGAUGUCCGAAUGGGGAAACCCAGUGCAAUUCGUUGCACUAUCGUUAACUGAAUACAUAGGUUAACGAGGCGAACCGGGGGAACUGAAACAUCUAAGUACCCCGAGGAAAAGAAAUCAACCGAGAUUCCCCCAGUAGCGGCGAGCGAACGGGGAGCAGCCCAGAGUCUGAAUCAGCUUGUGUGUUAGUGGAACGGUCUGGAAAGUCCGACGGUACAGGGUGAUAGUCCCGUACACCAAAAUGCACAGGUUGUGAACUCGAAGAGUAGGGCGGGACACGUGGUAUCCUGUCUGAAUAUGGGGGGACCAUCCUCCAAGGCUAAAUACUCCUGACUGACCGAUAGUGAACCAGUACCGUGAGGGAAAGGCGAAAAGAACCCCGGCGAGGGGAGUGAAAAAGAACCUGAAACCGUGUACGUACAAGCAGUGGGAGCACCUUCGGGUGUGACUGCGUACCUUUUGUAUAAUGGGUCAGCGACUUAUAUUCUGUAGCAAGGUUAACCGUAUAGGGGAGCCGCAGGGAAACCGAGUCUUAACUGGGCGUUAAGUUGCAGGGUAUAGACCCGAAACCCGGUGAUCUAGCCAUGGGCAGGUUGAAGGUUGGGUAACACUAACUGGAGGACCGAACCGACUAAUGUUGAAAAAUUAGCGGAUGACUUGUGGCUGGGGGUGAAAGGCCAAUCAAACCGGGAGAUAGCUGGUUCUCCCCGAAAGCUAUUUAGGUAGCGCCUCGUGAAUUCAUCUUCGGGGGUAGAGCACUGUUUCGGCUAGGGGGUCAUCCCGACUUACCAACCCGAUGCAAACUACGAAUACCGAAGAAUGUUAUCACGGGAGACACACGGCGGGUGCUAACGUCCGUCGUGAAGAGGGAAACAACCCAGACCGCCAGCUAAGGUCCCAAAGUCAUGGUUAAGUGGGAAACGAUGUGGGAAGGCACAGACAGCCAGGAUGUUGGCUUAGAAGCAGCCAUCAUUUAAAGAAAGCGUAAUAGCUCACUGGUCGAGUCGGCCUGCGCGGAAGAUGUAACGGGGCUAAACCAUGCACCGAAGCUGCGGCAGCGACACUAUGUGUUGUUGGGUAGGGGAGCGUUCUGUAAGCCUGCGAAGGUGUGCUGUGAGGCAUGCUGGAGGUAUCAGAAGUGCGAAUGCUGACAUAAGUAACGAUAAAGCGGGUGAAAAGCCCGCUCGCCGGAAGACCAAGGGUUCCUGUCCAACGUUAAUCGGGGCAGGGUGAGUCGACCCCUAAGGCGAGGCCGAAAGGCGUAGUCGAUGGGAAACAGGUUAAUAUUCCUGUACUUGGUGUUACUGCGAAGGGGGGACGGAGAAGGCUAUGUUAGCCGGGCGACGGUUGUCCCGGUUUAAGCAUGUAGGCUGGUUAUCCAGGCAAAUCCGGAUAAUCAAGGCUGAGGUGUGAUGACGAGGCACUACGGUGCUGAAGUAACAAAUGCCCUGCUUCCAGGAAAAGCCUCUAAGCAUCAGGUAACAUCAAAUCGUACCCCAAACCGACACAGGUGGUCAGGUAGAGAAUACCAAGGCGCUUGAGAGAACUCGGGUGAAGGAACUAGGCAAAAUGGUGCCGUAACUUCGGGAGAAGGCACGCUGGUGUGUAGGUGAAGCCCCUGCGGGUGGAGCUGAGACCAGUCGAAGAUACCAGCUGGCUGCAACUGUUUAUUAAAAACACAGCACUGUGCAAACACGAAAGUGGACGUAUACGGUGUGACGCCUGCCCGGUGCCGGAAGGUUAAUUGAUGGGGUUAUCCGUAAGGAGAAGCUCUUGAUCGAAGCCCCGGUAAACGGCGGCCGUAACUAUAACGGUCCUAAGGUAGCGAAAUUCCUUGUCGGGUAAGUUCCGACCUGCACGAAUGGCGUAAUGAUGGCCAGGCUGUCUCCACCCGAGACUCAGUGAAAUUGAACUCGCUGUGAAGAUGCAGUGUACCCGCGGCAAGACGGAAAGACCCCGUGAACCUUUACUAUAGCUUGACACUGAACAUUGAGCCUUGAUGUGUAGGAUAGGUGGGAGGCUUUGAAGCGUGGACGCCAGUCUGCGUGGAGCCAACCUUGAAAUACCACCCUUUAAUGUUUGAUGUUCUAACGUUGGCCCCUGACCGGGGUUGCGGACAGUGUCUGGUGGGUAGUUUGACUGGGGCGGUCUCCUCCCAAAGCGUAACGGAGGAGCACGAAGGUUAGCUAAUCCUGGUCGGACAUCAGGAGGUUAGUGCAAUGGCAUAAGCUAGCUUGACUGCGAGCGUGACGGCGCGAGCAGGUGCGAAAGCAGGUCAUAGUGAUCCGGUGGUUCUGAAUGGAAGGGCCAUCGCUCAACGGAUAAAAGGUACUCCGGGGAUAACAGGCUGAUACCGCCCAAGAGUUCAUAUCGACGGCGGUGUUUGGCACCUCGAUGUCGGCUCAUCACAUCCUGGGGCUGAAGUAGGUCCCAAGGGUAUGGCUGUUCGCCAUUUAAAGUGGUACGCGAGCUGGGUUUAGAACGUCGUGAGACAGUUCGGUCCCUAUCUGCCGUGGGCGCUGGAGAAUUGAGGGGGGCUGCUCCUAGUACGAGAGGACCGGAGUGGACGCAUCACUGGUGUUCGGGUUGUCAUGCCAAUGGCACUGCCCGGUAGCUAAAUGCGGAAGAGAUAAGUGCUGAAAGCAUCUAAGCACGAAACUUGCCCCGAGAUGAGUUCUCCCUGAGACUUUAAGUCUCCUGAAGGAACGUUGAAGACGACGACGUUGAUAGGCCGGGUGUGUAAGCGCAGCGAUGCGUUGAGCU
Molecule: ribosomal RNA, 2869 nt
Filed under: Klebsiella pneumoniae
Lineage: Bacteria; Pseudomonadati; Pseudomonadota; Gammaproteobacteria; Enterobacterales; Enterobacteriaceae
Description: partial 23S ribosomal RNA
Rfam family: Bacterial large subunit ribosomal RNA
Source: RNAcentral